Long non-coding RNA from Camarhynchus parvulus, 2361 nucleotides. RefSeq lists it as uncharacterized. Lineage: Eukaryota; Metazoa; Chordata; Aves; Passeriformes; Thraupidae. The transcript is spliced from 3 exons. The record is from RefSeq and is a predicted model, not a curated record.
CCCCGCUCCCCGUGCGGCACCGGGCAGGGCCCGCGGGCACCGGGACCCCCGUUCGGUCCUCCCGGCCCCUGCGGAAGGAGGGGCCCGGGCGCUCCACAUCACCCGCUCCAGCCCCUCAUCACCCUCCCGCGGGGGUGCAGCCUCGGGGGGAUGGGGGUGAGGGGCCGCUGCUGCCCUCCGCUCUCCGGAAAGGCAGAGCCAGCGUGGGAGCGGUGCGGGAUGCGAGGAACACGCGCUCAGGGCGCCGUGCAGGGCUCUGCGGCUUGGAACGCGUUCCACGGCCCCUCGGUGCCCCCCAAAGUCCCUGCCGCCCCCCAGCUUGAGGUUCGAAGUGGGGUUGUGCUUCAGCCGGUAUCCCCCAGCAGCGGGAGGCACCCGCUUCGCCGGAGCCUGCCGGGAGCCACCGGGGCUGCCUGUCCUCGGCCGCCUGCGCACCGGCUCCAGGCUCCCGGGUCUUUCUGCGGGAGCUCGGCGGGGCGCGGGGUGCGGAGCCGGCGGGGAGACAUGCUCCAAGACUGCGGGUGCUCUGGCCGGGAUGGAGGAGCCAUGAGCCGCCGUGGAGUGAAGGGAAGAACGGUUUAGGGAGCCCCGGCUCCCGGGUGGCUCUAGGAAAGGACCUGGGUGCACUUGUUCUCCCCUCCGAUGCAUUGUGUUAAUGCCGAUUUUUCUUAUUUGGCGUUUUUUAUCUCCUUAUUUUCAUAGCGUUCGCAAAAAAUCAAAUUCUAAAAAAUCUAAACCCUCCCCAUCAAAAAAAAUUUCUCCUCUCUCCAAAGCGUAAAUAGCAAAAAUAAAUUCUCUAACUGUUUCUCGCGGCAGCGCUCUGGGGAGGGUUGAUGACAACGAGAUCCGCUGCCUUGUCUGCAGGCAGGACAGGGCCGGGGCUGCCUGUGCCUCACCUGAGUGCGGGCACGAAGGUUCGGCAAGGCACGGCACCACUAAAAAAAAAAAGAAAAUCACAACUGUGCACAACCCGAAAUAACCUCAGAAAUCCGCCGUUUCAGCAGAGCUGGCUGCAGUGCAUAAGUCGGAAUGGGAGAAGCAUCCCCAUCCCAGGUGCGCCCCGUCGGGGUCCGGUACCGGCGGUGGGAGCCGCGACUUCUCGCCAGCUUCGUGGAGACCCCGCUCCCCGCCGGGAGCUCAAAGCUGUCUGUCGGAUAAUGGGGCGGUGGGACUUUGUUUAACCCCGUUGCCCCUGGGGCCAGGGGUCAAGGGCUUCCUCUUCCCCCGGGACACGGCGGAGCCGCCGUUGGUCACAAGAGGAGGACGGCGGCGAGGAGGGGAAGCGAUGGCCGCAGUGCCCCCCUGUCCCCGCCGCGGCCCUCCCGUGCCAUCGCCCUGGGAUCCCGUGAAGCUCCUUCUCUCCCCGGCAUCGAGAGGCUGAGACGGGCUCCAGAUGGGUGUUUUGGGGGAGCAGGGGGAGGCCAAACAUCACCACGGGGCAGCGGGUGAUGAUGCAGAGAGGCAGCCCCUGCUUUCCAGCAUCCCGCCGUUCUGCUUUCCCCUCCCAGCUGGAGCAGGACCUUUUUAACGGGGUGCCGGUUUAAACGGUGUUUCACCCCCCCCCUCCACAGGUAGAGGUGUCUCAGCUGCCCCCCCGGAGCCAAGAAACGGGAGAAACGGGCAGUUUUUAUAGGCUGGGGAGGAGUCGAGACAGAGGGAAGGAAAAGAGAAAAGCAGAGCACCCCAACAUCCCGCUCUUUCCCUGCUCGGGAAGCGAGCCCCGGAGCUCCCAAAGUGAGCGCUGAAGAGGGCGACAGGAGACAGGCGGGAGCCGGCUCCGAGCUGGAGGGGUCGGGGGUGGGAUGACAGCAGAGGAGGACCCUCCUUUUCGGGAUUAAGGGAGAACCAGCGGAGGAGGGAAGCUGGCGGCACCGCGGGCAUCCGAGGUAAGUCCCUCUCGUGCCCGCAGCGGUGGUACCCGAGCCAGGGCGCUGCUGCGGGGGAUGCUUUGAGGGUUCAAAGGAGCCCGAUCCCGGGGGGAGCCCCUUCCCGGGGCUGCCCCAUCACAAGCCCUGCGCUCUGCGGGGCCGGGGCUGCUUUGGCGGCUGCGGCUCCUGUGGAAUCGGUGCCGGUGAUCCCGGCCCGGGGCUGCCGGCAGCGCCUGCCCCGCUCCGUGCCCGCUCCCUCGGGGCUGGGCCGGGGUCCCCCCGGGCCGAGCAGCCCCACGGAUCCCGCUCCCAGCCCCCGGGGCUCCUCCCGUGCGUGUCUCAAUUCGCUCAGGCUUGACUUGGCAAUAAGCUCUCUCAAUAGGGUGACAAUAGAGCCCCGGUGGGACCCGAACAAAGAAUUUGAAAGUAGUUAAAUUGCAGGACACGUCCAUCGCCUGGGUGCUUGAAUUAAAAAAAAAAAAAAAAAAAAAAG